AAGCAUCAGCAGAAUGGGAAGGAGGUCCUUGCAGUAAGAGUGCCCAUCCGUAUUGCCAGAGGAGCAGAGCCACGGGUCGAGGAGCCGAGCGACAAGCUCAGGUGCUCUUCUGCUGGCCUUGUGGGCAAUGGCAGGGUCUUCAGGCCUGGGCAUUUAAGCAUUGCCCUCUUCUCUUUGGAGGUGCCAGCCCGGUAACCUUUGGCAAGAAAUGAGCGUCCCAGGUGUACCAUGCAGUGGGAGCUGCAAGCUGCACCUCUUGCUUGAGGCAGACACACAAGGAGUUGAGUGCACUUAGGAGACGGUGAGUGUGGGAAUGGUUGGGGUUUGGCCGAUGUGCUGCUAAAGUCAUGCACUGAUUUUGGUUUCCUUUCUUGGAGCUGACGAAGAGAAGAACCCAGGGACUGCAGGAAGCCCUGAGGCAGCCGAAGGGACAUGCUUUUGGAAGAUGUACCACACAGAUAAUAAAGAAAUACCAAAAAAUAUGUUUCUUCAUUGUUUCUGCAUAUCAUAAACUUCCUACCAAACAUUCUCUAUCAGCUUUCUGCCAGAAUUUCUCACCAGGACUUCUCACUGCACUUUUCCUGCUAAUAAAUCCUGCCGUUGUUUAAGGUUACCAUAUCUCCUCGAACAUCUGAACUGGCUACGUGCCAAGAAACCACGUAAAACCUCCCUUGAGCACUAUAAAAACUGAGGAAAAUUUUGGAAAAUCACGGGACAGAAAAGGGAGAGAGAGCUGGUGACUGUAGCUGAGAAUCUCUCCCCACCUCCCCUCCCCUUUUCUCCGCCACCGCGUGCUGCCUGCCUGCCACCGGAGACUGGAACUGUGCCAGCCUGGAGAGAGCUGAGACCACCGUGCCACAUGUGGGAGUUCUACCUUAUCCUUCCAGCCUUGUCAUAUUUCUGAAGGCCUAAAAGUGCAGCUGAGUGGGACCCUGCACAGCCUGGGACAUGGCUGGGUGUGAGUUCCAGAGGACUAAAGCUCUCAGACCCCUGCAACUAAAAAGAUAACAUCAAAAA
Molecule: long non-coding RNA, 1017 nt
Organism: Myiozetetes cayanensis
Lineage: Eukaryota; Metazoa; Chordata; Aves; Passeriformes; Tyrannidae
Exons: 3
Source: RefSeq, a predicted model, not a curated record